UCGCAUCUGUGCAUGCAGCAUAUCAAUAAGCGGAGGAAAAGAAACUAACAAGGAUUCCCCUAGUAACGGCGAGUGAAGCGGGAAGAGCUCAAAUUUGAAAUCUUAAAGGGUUUCCCUUUACGAAUUGUAGUUUAAAGAAGUGUUUUCUGUUGAGGUUUUGGUAAAAGUUCUUUGGAAUAGGACAUCAUAGAGGGUGAGAAUCCCGUAUUUGACUUAUUCAUUCUAACUUUGUGAUACACUUUCAAAGAGUCGGAUUGUUUGGGAAUGCAGUCCAAAAUGGGUGGUAAAUUUCAUCUAAAGCUAAAUAUUGGCGAGAGACCGAUAGCGAACAAGUACCGUGAGGGAAAGAUGAAAAGAACUUUGAAAAGAGAGUUAAACAGUACGUGAAAUUGUCAAAAGGGAAGCGUUUGACACCAGUGUUGUUUUUCUGAAAAUCAAUUAAAGAACUGUUUAUGCUAAGUUGUUUAGACUUUAUCAGCUAUCUGCUUUAGUUUUGAGCUUUUCUUUAAUGCACUUUUCAGUUAACAAGUCAACAUCAAUUUCUUUUGCUGUAAAAAAGCUUGAGGAAGGUGGCUUGAGAUUCGUCUUAAGUGUUUAUAGCCUCUUGCCUAUGCAGUCGGAGAGAUUGAGGUCUGCAGCGUAGAUCCUUCGGGGCUAAAUGCAUUUGUGCUAAGUUAUAGCAUUUUAUAGACAACUUGUUGACUAUGAUUUGUCUUGUAGCUUACUCGCUUAUGUUAUUUUACCUACGCUUAGGAUGUUGAGCGCAUGUCUCUCUCU
This 777-nucleotide ribosomal RNA is filed under the name uncultured Neocallimastigales. Its description in RNAcentral is "partial large subunit ribosomal RNA". It matches the Rfam family "Eukaryotic large subunit ribosomal RNA", at positions 24 to 616 of the family's 3401-position model. The record is from RNAcentral. Lineage: Eukaryota; Fungi; Neocallimastigomycota; Neocallimastigomycetes; Neocallimastigales.